This 434-nucleotide long non-coding RNA is filed under the name Ananas comosus (pineapple). RNAcentral describes it as "long non-coding RNA (ACOM_LNC008253)". The record is from RNAcentral. Lineage: Eukaryota; Viridiplantae; Streptophyta; Magnoliopsida; Poales; Bromeliaceae.
UUUAUCACAAUAUAUAUAAGGGUGUGUUUGGUUCGAGUUAUUCUGACAGAAUUACAGGUAAUCAUGUCAGGAUUACUAUGUUUGGUUCAUCCGCUAUAUAAUAUAGUCGUUAAUUUACGUAGCAUUACAAAUCGAGCAGAAUUACACCGAAAAUAUUAACGAGAUGAAGGUUGUGUAUCUUACAUUACUGAAAACUGGUAAUACUACAUAGUAUGUAAAAUGAUAAUUUUACCCUCCAACGCCCCCAAACCUAAUUAACAGUAUAGUUUUCAUCUCUCAGUCACACGCCCUCCUCUCUCUCUCUCUCUCUCUCUCUCUCUCUCUCUCUCUCUCUCUGUCUCUCUGUCUCUCUCUCUCGCGCGCGCGCGCGCGGACGAACACCUAUCAUCUUCUUUUAUUAUAUGAUUUUUCAUAAGUAUAAUGAUCUUUUUUCU